AAAAAGCCCGCUUUGCGUCGGCAUAAGCGGGCUUCAUGUGCGGGGGAAAGCUGGAGCGGCGGCGGACGGUUGCUGCUUUUCUCCACCGUUCGCUUUAGCUGUUUUGGGUUGCCCCGCGUCCGCAAGCUGAGAUCAAAUCGACGCAAGCCGUCAUCCUAACAUGCGUGGCGCGCUGCGUGA
RNAcentral lists this small RNA (180 nucleotides) under Paraburkholderia phenazinium. RNAcentral's name for it is "Burkholderia phenazinium Burkholderia sRNA Bp2_Cand287_SIPHT". It matches the Rfam family "Burkholderia sRNA Bp2_Cand287_SIPHT". The record is from Rfam by way of RNAcentral. Lineage: Bacteria; Pseudomonadati; Pseudomonadota; Betaproteobacteria; Burkholderiales; Burkholderiaceae.